Molecule: non-coding RNA, 1033 nt
Organism: Heterocephalus glaber (naked mole-rat)
Lineage: Eukaryota; Metazoa; Chordata; Mammalia; Rodentia; Bathyergidae
Source: RefSeq, a predicted model, not a curated record
GAACUUAUUUAGGAGAAUUGCCACCACUGACAGGAAACUAGGACAGCAAAUCACUUCCUAGAUCCGAGCCCUAGUCCUGAUUCUGCCAUCAGCUGCCACAGACUCCUGGGAUAGGGCGGUGCCGAACCAACCACUGUGGCGGUGUAUAACCACACGCGCGAAUCGAACACCACACACCCCAGAUCCAGCCCCUUCUGAAAAGGACUGCACGAGGCCUGGGGACAUCUGGCCACGGGCCUAGCAUGCCCUCCUCUUCCUCAGCGGGUUACCUAAUCGGGUACAGGUUUGGGCUGCUCUCUGACCUGGACUGCUUCUAGAGAUGACCUCUCUCCGCGGUCCGGCCAAAGAAAUGAACAGCGAGCGGGCGGGCAGCUUACCCCGCAGCCCCUCCGCACCACCAGCACGGGCUGGCUUCUGCCCAGCCACACUGGACUCUUGGCCUGUUCAAGCCGCGUCUGACUCUGCACUUCCCGUCCCUUCUGCUCGGACACCCCGUAGGCUGCGGUCUCAGCGCAUUGGUAGGAAGCUCACACGUGAGGCACGCUGGUUUCAUUCUCAGCACAAGCACAACAAGAACAACAAGAACAAGUCCUCUCCGCACCGCACAGAGCACUGGGCAGCAUCAGUGCUGACAUCAGCUCCAGGAAGCCCCGAGCCGAGCCGAGCUGGGCCAAGCGCUGCGCAUUCCCGACCGACCGGGUGAGCACAACCCCGCAGGCACUUCGCGUCCCAGGGAGGCGGCUCACCACUGCGGGACCCUCCUGCUGGUGCUCCUUCUCUGAAGACAAGAAAGGCGCUCCAGGUGCAGCGCUCUGCCUCGGGUCUCAGCCUUUCUCCCGCGGCGCUGGGGACCCAAACAAGGGCUCCCCUCCUGCCACCCGAGUACUCUGCCACUGAGCUACAGGCCUGGCAGGGCAACAUACUGUCCUCACUGAUCACCUGGGGAUCGAUACUUUGCCAGACAGCUUCAGACUGUGAAUGUCCAGAAUGUAUUUGCAAAAUUGUAAAUUAUAGUUGAACUGCUGUAAUCAAA